RNAcentral lists this ribosomal RNA (606 nucleotides) under uncultured archaeon. RNAcentral describes it as "bacterial SSU rRNA". It matches the Rfam family "Archaeal small subunit ribosomal RNA", at positions 315 to 921 of the family's 1478-position model. The record is from RNAcentral.
UCCAGGCCCUACGGGGUGCAGCAGGCGCGAAACCUCCGCAAUGUGAGAAAUCGCGACGGGGGGAUCCCAAGUGCCAUUCUUAACGGGAUGGCUUUUCAUUAGUGUAAAGAGCUUUUGGAAUAAGAGCUGGGCAAGACCGGUGCCAGCCGCCGCGGUAACACCGGCAGCUCUAGUGGUAGCAGUUUUUAUUGGGCCUAAAGCGUCCGUAGCCGGUUUAAUAAGUCUCUGGUGAAAUCCUGCAGCUUAACUGUGGGAAUUGCUGGAGAUACUAUUAGACUUAAGAUCGGGAGAGGUUAGAGGUACUCCCAGGGUAGAGGUGAAAUUCUGUAAUCCUGGGAGGACCGCCUGUUGCGAAGGCGUCUGACUGGAACGAUUCUGACGGUGAGGGACGAAAGCUAGGGGCGCGAACCGGAUUAGAUACCCGGGUAGUCCUAGCUGUAAACGAUGCGGACUUGGUGUUGGGGUGGCUUUGAGCUGUCCCAGUGCCGAAGGGAAGCUGUUAAGUCCGCCGCCUGGGAAGUACGGUCGCAAGACUGAAGCUUAAAGGAAUUGGCGGGGGAGCACCACAACGCGUGGAGCCUGCGGUUUAAUUGGAGUCAACGCCGG